Molecule: ribosomal RNA, 492 nt
Filed under: uncultured bacterium
Lineage: Bacteria
Description: partial 16S ribosomal RNA
Rfam family: Bacterial small subunit ribosomal RNA
Source: RNAcentral
AGUGAACGCUGGCGGUAGGCCUAACACAUGCAAGUCGAACGGCAGCACAGUAAGAGCUUGCUCUUACGGGUGGCGAGUGGCGGACGGGUGAGGAAUACAUCGGAAUCUACUUUUUCGUGGGGGAUAACGUAGGGAAACUUACGCUAAUACCGCAUACGACCUACGGGUGAAAGCAGGGGAUCUUCGGACCUUGCGCGAUUGAAUGAGCCGAUGUCGGAUUAGCUAGUUGGCGGGGUAAAGGCCCACCAAGGCGACGAUCCGUAGCUGGUCUGAGAGGAUGAUCAGCCACACUGGAACUGAGACACGGUCCAGACUCCUACGGGAGGCAGCAGGGGGGAAUAUUGGACAAUGGGCGCAAGCCUGAUCCAGCCAUACCGCGUGGGUGAAGAAGGCCUUCGGGUUGUAAAGCCCUUUUGUUGGGAAAGAAAAGCAGCAGGUUAAUACCCCGCUGUCCUGACGGUACCCAAAGAAUAAGCACCGGCUAACUUCGUG